This 1020-nucleotide long non-coding RNA is filed under the name Fragaria vesca (wild strawberry). Its description in RNAcentral is "long non-coding RNA (FVES_LNC004365)". The record is from RNAcentral. Lineage: Eukaryota; Viridiplantae; Streptophyta; Magnoliopsida; Rosales; Rosaceae.
AAAGCGAUGAAGUAGCUCGAACAAUAGAGAGGGGAGUGCUUUCGUCGAAUCGAUAACAGGAUGGUCAGAUCAUACUAUCAUCCCUCGACGCAACGGAAAGAGUUACUAGUGGAAGCCGAUCCAUAUACAUCUUUAUGAGUCAAAGUGGACUAGCCAUAUUCUACGAAUUGGGCUAUUUCUCCACCCGGAUGGAGCUUAUUUUCUGGCACGUCCUUAUACUCGGAAAGCUUUCGCAAUAUUCGUUUUGGGAGGCAGAAGGCUUGCAAUGUCAUUCCAUCAGAGCUCGGCGAUCAAGAACAGUUACGUAAUGAAUUCAAAUCCAUCUCUUUCUCGGUGCAAAGGAAAGUCAAUUUAUAGUGCUCCAGAUAGGAAUGGUCUUUCCCAACUGUAGUAAUGGUCGGCGACUCGAGAAGAGAUUCUACCGUUCCGGCAGCUCGUUAGAAUCCACGGAUUUCAAUCCAUUCUAUUAGAUUUCCACACGGAAACUUUCUUUCAAAACUCUCUUUCUUUCUACGUAGCAAAGCUAUCAAGGAAGAAUGCAUUCGUUUCAAACGAUUCUUUUACCCGGCGGUGCGUAACUUCUUCACUUCGUUUAUUUCUAUAACCUAAUGUCCUUAUAUUCAAUCAAUUGAGACUUUGUAGCCCCGCUUUGUGGUUUACUGCACCCCGCCUCCGCGCGGGCACCUCUUCUUCCGAGCGCCCUUACCUUCGUCGCCUUUUGCGAGUCAAGCUACUUAAUUUCAGAACUUGUUUUUGUAAUUCUGGGUCCCAGCAUUUCAGCACUUUUUGUGGCGGGCCCUGCGGCCGUAAAGAAAGGAGCCAAAAGCACUCGAGCUUUGCGAGAAGGAUGUUUGGUCUUAGUAAGAUUUUACCAUUCUGGGGCCUUAAAAAGUGGAUUAUUCCACCCAGAAGAAAGAGAUUUCACCGCGUAAUGUCGAAUUGAUCCACUUUAGGAGAGUCAUAUUUUCUGGUACGUCCAUCUACUUAUAAGCGGCCGGCUAUGUUCUCUAAACUCAUCUA